UCCUACGGGAGGCAGCAGUGGGGAAUAUUGGACAAUGGGGGGAACCCUGAUCCAGCCAUGCCGCGUGUGUGGAGAAGGCCCUCGGGUUGUAAAGCACUUUCAGCGAGGAAGAACGCCUAGCGGUUAAUACCCGCUAGGAAAGACAUCACUCGCAGAAGAAGCACCGGCUAACUCCGUGCCAGCAGCCGCGGUAAUACGGAGGGUGCAAGCGUUAAUCGGAAUUACUGGGCGUAAAGCGCGCGUAGGUGGCUUGAUAAGCCGGUUGUGAAAGCCCCGGGCUCAACCUGGGAACGGCAUCCGGAACUGUCAAGCUAGAGUGCAGGAGAGGAAGGUAGAAUUCCCGGUGUAGCGGUGAAAUGCGUAGAGAUCGGGAGGAAUACCAGUGGCGAAGGCGGCCUUCUGGACUGACACUGACACUGAGGUGCGAAAGCGUGGGUAGCAAACAGGAUUAGAUACCCUGGUAGUCCACGCCGUAAACGAUGUCGACCAGCCGUUGGGUGCCUAGCGCACUUUGUGGCGAAGUUAACGCGAUAAGUCGACCGCCUGGGGAGUACGGCCGCAAGGUUAAAACUCAAAUGAAUUGACGG
This 587-nucleotide ribosomal RNA is filed under the name uncultured bacterium. RNAcentral's name for it is "bacterial SSU rRNA". It matches the Rfam family "Bacterial small subunit ribosomal RNA", at positions 337 to 916 of the family's 1533-position model. The record is from RNAcentral.